AAAAAAAUAAAUAAAUAAAUAAAUAAUCUGAACAAAAGGCAGAUGAAAAGUCGUGCAUGUGAUUUUCUUUAACAUCAACCUUCCUAUGGUACAAUUUUCCCCCCUUAAAUUUCUGUAGUGCGAAAUAAAUCAAGCAGCGGAAACAUUAUAGUUAUUGCCAAAAAAGCGACAUAUAGUUUAAUGCUUUGUUAGAUUUUCGAGAUGGGGUAGGCUGCAACAUUGCUAUUAAUUAUUUUUAACUUCAACUUGAAUGAUUUUAUCUGUGAAGAGUUAGAGGUCACUUUGUUUCUUCUACUUCCCGUAGCUGAUAAGACAAAGCAGUGAAGAAAGAAGAAUUAUUGAAGUGAUGAAUGACUUGGAUAAGGAGGAUAACAAUUGAUCUAAAAGUCCCAACAGUCACAAAAUUCUAACAGCCAUCCAAAUUGAGGCAGCAAGCACGCUUUCAAGCUUUAUGUCAUUUUAUAGGUCAAGUAGUCAAAAGAGAUUUUUGGUUAAAUUAGAAAUUAGUUCAGGUUUUUAUUUCAUGAGAUUUGAGAUACGUUUUAACUAGAGGCAGAUUCAAACUUUGAGAAUUUUUUUUGUAAAGAUCUGAAUAAUUUCUCACAAGAACUUAUAAACAACCUGUUUAGCCAAAGGUCUCUUUGAAUUAACAAGUUUAUCUAUUAAAUCAGUACUGAUAACCACAAUUGUAAUGUGAAUUUUAGUUAAAAUAAUUCAAACUUAACAGCUUAUCUAAAAAACACAAAUUCCAUAAAUAUACAUAUAUACAUAUUUAUGUGGAUUUACUAAUGAAUUCCAUGAAGUUUUAUGGAAUAUAUAUAUAUAAUUUGGAAUUCUAUGUAUUUAAUUCAAUGGAUUUACAUGAUAUUUAAGAAAAUUUUUAUGAAAAUUGGUAGAAUUUGCAAAUGAAUCCCAAAUUUAGGAUGGAGUUUUGAAAAUUUCCCUAUGACUUCAUAAUUUAAAAUGAACUAUAUGCAAUAAAAUGUGAAAUACUUGAUUAUUCAUUUACAAGUGAGUUCUAUAUGAAAUUCAUUUGCAAAUGAAAAGAAUUCCAUAUUCUUUUGGUUCCAAACAAAAUAUAAAUCUAAAACUUUCUUGUAUAUUUCUUUCAUUUUAUUAAACCAUUUCAUACAAUGCAAUAAGCAAAUUGAAGUUUAAUGUAUGGGCACUUGGCAGUUAAAACCCAAAAUAAUUUUGUUAAACAAAAAGAAAAAGUUGAAAGAAAUUAUAGUUUAAGGUUCAAGUUAACAUUUUAAGGAGUAACAUUGUAAUCAUAUUAGAGUGUAACUAAAAUCUAAAAUUCCUAUUUAGGCUCAGAUUUUUAUUUAGUAAGGAUUCCCAUUUGGGAGUAACUUGGUCCCCAAGGAUAAGUUACUCUAUAAUAUAGAGAUUAAUAUUAAGGAUUUGAUGGCCUUAUCCCUAUCGCAACAUAAGGAAGGGUAAGAGGUAUUUUCCAGGGUAAUGACAUGACAGUGGGUUUCUGUUCCACUUUAAAGGAUGACUAAGCAAUUCCCUCUAUCAAGAUUAAGCCUUAAAGUGCAAAUUACAAAACUUGAAAUGAUGACGCAUUUAAUAAUAAGAUUUUAACAUAUAGGUUUUAAUCUAGACA
This 1609-nucleotide unclassified non-coding RNA is filed under the name Hevea brasiliensis (rubber tree). Lineage: Eukaryota; Viridiplantae; Streptophyta; Magnoliopsida; Malpighiales; Euphorbiaceae. The record is from RNAcentral.